GAUGAACGCUGGCGGCGUGCCUAAUACAUGCAAGUCGAGCGAACAGACGAGGAGCUUGCUCCUCUGACGUUAGCGGCGGACGGGUGAGUAACACGUGGAUAACCUACCUAUAAGACUGGGAUAACUUCGGGAAACCGGAGCUAAUACCGGAUAAUAUAUUGAACCGCAUGGUUCAAUAGUGAAAGACGGUUUUGCUGUCACUUAUAGAUAGAUCCGCGCCGCAUUAGCUAGUUGGUAAGGUAACGGCUUACCAAGGCAACGAUGCGUAGCCGACCUGAGAGGGUGAUCGGCCACACUGGAACUGAGACACGGUCCAGACUCCUACGGGAGGCAGCAGUAGGGAAUCUUCCGCAAUGGGCGAAAGCCUGACGGAGCAACGCCGCGUGAGUGAUGAAGGUCUUCGGAUCGUAAAACUCUGUUAUUAGGGAAGAACAAAUGUGUAAGUAACUAUGCACGUCUUGACGGUACCUAAUCAGAAAGCCACGGCUACUACGUG
RNAcentral lists this ribosomal RNA (496 nucleotides) under uncultured bacterium. RNAcentral's name for it is "partial 16S ribosomal RNA". It matches the Rfam family "Bacterial small subunit ribosomal RNA", at positions 28 to 507 of the family's 1533-position model. The record is from RNAcentral.